AUAGAUACAUUUAAACCAUACUAACAAGAGUUGAGAUUGUUGUUGAUCCAAUUAGAUCUUGCCACGUGGACCGAGCUUCGGUUUUUGUUGUGGGCCCUUCACAAUCGGUAGGACAUCUCCGGUUGCAGUGGAGCUGAAGUAAGCAAGAGUCGAACCACCUCCCAAUAUCAAGAAUUUAAGCAACAAUCCUCUCUUGGUAAAAGGAGCAGCGAAUGUCUCAAAGAACUUGCUCUACGACCAAAAAGGGUAAAAUAGUCAUUUACUCGUCAAAAAAGUUAGAACUUACACCAUCAGUUCACCCCUUUACCCAUACGAUUUCAAAACAUAGGAAUGGAGAUAACAAGUUCACUGAGGCAUUAUAUCGAAUACCUGGAGGGAAUUGUAAGGUGAGGGGGCAUCAGAGCCAUACACGUCCCAUUGACCAGUGGUGUUGCCCAAAUCUUCCAAAUCAAAGUACACACUUUUGUCGCCGUAUUUAGCUACCACAGCACCAGCUCU
This 498-nucleotide long non-coding RNA is filed under the name Lactuca sativa (garden lettuce). Its description in RNAcentral is "long non-coding RNA (LSAT_LNC000152)". The record is from RNAcentral. Lineage: Eukaryota; Viridiplantae; Streptophyta; Magnoliopsida; Asterales; Asteraceae.